UACAGAGGGUGCAAGCGUUGUUCGGAAUUAUUGGGCGUAAAGAGCUCGUAGGCGGUUUGUCGCGUCUGCUGUGAAAACCUAAGGCUCAACCUUGGGCUUGCAGUGGGUACGGGCAGGCUAGAGUUCGGUAGGGGAGACUGGAAUUCCUGGUGUAGCGGUGAAAUGCGCAGAUAUCAGGAGGAACACCGGUGGCGAAGGCGGGUCUCUGGGCCGAUACUGACGUGAGGAGCGAAAGCGUGGGGAGCGAACAGG
RNAcentral lists this ribosomal RNA (252 nucleotides) under uncultured bacterium. Its description in RNAcentral is "partial 16S ribosomal RNA". It matches the Rfam family "Bacterial small subunit ribosomal RNA", at positions 524 to 776 of the family's 1533-position model. The record is from RNAcentral.